Molecule: small RNA, 76 nt
Filed under: Conticribra weissflogii
Lineage: Eukaryota; Bacillariophyta; Thalassiosirophyceae; Thalassiosirales; Thalassiosiraceae
Description: partial Alphaproteobacteria transfer-messenger RNA
Source: RNAcentral
ACGCCUUUAUUACUGGUGCAAUCUCACGCGCUACAAUGAUAAAACGGAUGGCGAAAAAUACGCAGUGGACACGGGG